GUCCACCUACGGGGCGCAGCAGUGGGGGAUAUUGCACAAUGGGGGAAACCCUGAUGCAGCGGCGCCGCGUGGGUGAAGAAGCGCCUCGGCGCGUAAAGCCCUGUCAGCAGGGAAGAAAAUGACGGUACCUGAAGAAGAAGCCCCGGCUAACUACGUGCCAGCAGCCGCGGUAAUACGUAGGGGGCAAGCGUUAUCCGGAUUUACUGGGUGUAAAGGGGGCGCAGACGGCGAUGGAAGCCAGGAGU
RNAcentral lists this ribosomal RNA (245 nucleotides) under uncultured bacterium. RNAcentral describes it as "partial 16S ribosomal RNA". It matches the Rfam family "Bacterial small subunit ribosomal RNA", at positions 333 to 595 of the family's 1533-position model. The record is from RNAcentral.